CAGUAGCCGCGGUAAUACGGAGGGAGCUAGCGUUGUCCGGAAUUACUGGGCGUAAAGCGCAUGUAGGCGGUUAUUCAAGUCAGAGGUGAAAGCCCGGGGCUCAACCCCGGAAUAGCCUUUGAAACUAGAUAACUUGAAUCCAGGAGAGGUGAGUGGAAUUCCGAGUGUAGAGGUGAAAUUCGUAGAUAUUCGGAAGAACACCAGUGGGGAAGGCGGCUCACUGGACUGGUAUUGACGCUGAGGUGCGAAAGCGUGGGGAGCAAACAGGAUUAGAUACCCCCGUAGUCCCUGUCUCUUAUAA
RNAcentral lists this ribosomal RNA (301 nucleotides) under uncultured bacterium. RNAcentral's name for it is "partial 16S ribosomal RNA". It matches the Rfam family "Bacterial small subunit ribosomal RNA", at positions 509 to 809 of the family's 1533-position model. The record is from RNAcentral.